Long non-coding RNA from Solanum stenotomum, 722 nucleotides. RefSeq lists it as uncharacterized. Lineage: Eukaryota; Viridiplantae; Streptophyta; Magnoliopsida; Solanales; Solanaceae. The transcript is spliced from 2 exons. The record is from RefSeq and is a predicted model, not a curated record.
CUAAGAAAUAACUCAUCUUUUGGGGAUCUAAUUAAGUUAAUUAAAAUAAAUUAUAGUUAGAAUGAAAUAAAAUUAGUCAAGCAUAAGCAAAUCAAUUAAAAGAGUAAAAGAUAUUAGGAAAUUGGCCCCUUUUGGGCCAAUUUUGCCGCAAAUUCUGGGGAUUUUACUCAAUCCCGUUUUUGGUAUACAUCAGCUGUAUAUCGGUGUAUAUUGAUGUAUACAACCCUUUUUUCUGCGUUCUGGGACCUGCACGUCAACUCCAAAGACUUGUUCUUCAAUUUCUCAAGGUUGAAUGACUUGAUAAAAGAAAGAAUUUUGAGCCUUCACGGCUCUCCCGAAAUGCAAGAAAAAGAUAGGAGUUCGUAGUGAACUCGGAUAGAUUUCACAUGCAACCAAAAAUAAUAGUGAGGAGUUAGAACCUCGAAAUAACAAAAAAUAAUAAUAAUAAUAAUAACAUAUCUAAGUAUCACGUUGACUCUUAGAAUAUUAUAGCAAAAUGAGCUCGAUCAAAAUAAAUACUGAAGAUCUAAAUGAAGGGGGACAAAUUCAUGAGGAAAAAAAAAAACUAGUGGCCUCAAAUCAUGCUAAUAAGCAAAUAAUGAACAUCCAAGCUACUGUUCCGUAUAAGUACAUUAAAAAUGACUCCUAAUAGUAUAAAUAAAUUAACUAAUUAACCUACUAUGCCAUGAGCAUUACGGAUGAUUAGCAUUAUAAAAAAAUAA